CCUGGCGGCUGUAGCGCGGUGGUCCCACCUGACCCCAUGCCGAACUCAGAAGUGAAACGCCGUAGCGCCGAUGGUAGUGUGGGGCCUCCCCAAGCGCGAGU
RNAcentral lists this ribosomal RNA (101 nucleotides) under Cronobacter sakazakii. The record is from RNAcentral. Lineage: Bacteria; Pseudomonadati; Pseudomonadota; Gammaproteobacteria; Enterobacterales; Enterobacteriaceae.